UACGUAGGGUGCAAGCGUUAUCCGGAAUUAUUGGGCGUAAAGCGUCCGCAGGUGGCCAUGUAAGUCUGCUGUCAAAGCGUCUGGCUCAACCAGAUAAAGGCAGUGGAAACUACAUAGCUAGAGUAAGGUAGGGGUAGAGGGAAUUCCUGGUGUAGCGGUGAAAUGCGUAGAGAUCAGGAAGAACACCGGUGGCGAAAGCGCUCUGCUGGACCUUAACUGACACUGAGGGACGAAAGCUAGGGGAGCGAAUGGG
Molecule: ribosomal RNA, 253 nt
Filed under: uncultured bacterium
Lineage: Bacteria
Description: partial 16S ribosomal RNA
Rfam family: Bacterial small subunit ribosomal RNA
Source: RNAcentral